RNAcentral lists this ribosomal RNA (491 nucleotides) under uncultured bacterium. RNAcentral's name for it is "partial 16S ribosomal RNA". It matches the Rfam family "Bacterial small subunit ribosomal RNA", at positions 29 to 506 of the family's 1533-position model. The record is from RNAcentral.
AGUGAACGCUGGCGGUAGGCCUAACACAUGCAAGUCGAACGGCAGCACAGUAAGAGCUUGCUCUUACGGGUGGCGAGUGGCGGACGGGUGAGGAAUACAUCGGAAUCUACUUUUUCGUGGGGGAUAACGUAGGGAAACUUACGCUAAUACCGCAUACGACCUACGGGUGAAAGCAGGGGAUCUUCGGACCUUGCGCGAUUGAAUGAGCCGAUGUCGGAUUAGCUAGUUGGCGGGGUAAAGGCCCACCAAGGCGACGAUCCGUAGCUGGUCUGAGAGGAGGAUCAGCCACACUGGAACUGAGACACGGUCCAGACUCUGACGGGAGGCAGAAGUGGGGAAUAUUGGACAAGGGGCGCAAGCCUGAUCCAGCCAUACCGCGGGGGUGAAGAAGGCCUGCGGGUUGUAAAGCCAUUUUGUUGGGAAAGAAAAGCAGCAGGUUAAUACCCCGCUGUUCGGACGGUACCCAAAGAAUAAGCACCGGCUAACUUAGG